RNAcentral lists this ribosomal RNA (880 nucleotides) under uncultured bacterium. Its description in RNAcentral is "bacterial SSU rRNA". It matches the Rfam family "Bacterial small subunit ribosomal RNA", at positions 8 to 878 of the family's 1533-position model. The record is from RNAcentral.
AGGGUUUGAUUAUGGCUCAGAACGUACGCUAGCGGUGUGGAUUAGGCAUGCAAGUCGUGCGCGAAAGCCUUCGGGCGAGUAAAGCGGCGAAAGGGUGAGUAACACGUAACCAACGUACCCCUCAGAUCGGAAUAACCUCUGGAAACGGUGGGUAAUGCCGAAUGGUCCCAGGAGAGACAUCUCUCCGAGGGUAAACGGUGCCUUCGGGUGCUGCUGAGGGAGCGGGUUGCGGCCUAUCAGUUUGUUGGUGGGGUAACGGCCUACCAAGACGAUGACGGGUAGCGGGUCUGAGAGGAUGAUCCGUCACACUGGGACUGAGACACUGCCCAGACUCCUACGGGAGGCUGCAGUCGAGAAUCUUCCACAAUGGGCGAAAGCCUGAUGGAGCGACACCGCGUGCAGGAUGAAGGCCUUAGGGUUGUAAACUGCUGUCACGCUAUAGGAACCCAUGGUCGUUAAUAGCGGCCGUGCUGACCAAAGCGAGAGGAAGCGCCGGCUAACUCCGUGCCAGCAGCCGCGGUAAUACGGAGGGCGCAAGCGUAGUUCGGAUUUACUGGGCAUAAAGAGCACGUAGGCGGCUCGCUCAGUCAGGUGUGAAAGCCCACGGCUCAACCGUGGAACUGCACCUGAUACUGGCGAGCUUGAGGACGGAAGGGGUGAGUGGAACUCCAGGUGGAACGGUGAAAUGUAUAGAUAUCUGGAGGAACACCGGUGGCGAAAGCGGCUCACUGGUCCGUCUCUGACGCUGAGGUGCGAAAGCUAGGGUAGCGAACGGGAUUAGAUACCCCGGUAGUCCUAGCCGUAAACGAUGGGCACUAGGCAAUGGGCCCUCCUAUGAGGUUCAUUGCCGGAGCUAAUGUGUUAAGUGCCCCGCCUGGGG